AUGGGUAGGCGCGAGGUGGCCCGGGAAGGGAGCGGAGAGAUUAAGGCGACGGGGAUCCUCCCACCAGAUUCAGCCUGUCUGUCCUUCCCAAAAGGCCCCGCAAGCCCCUGGCCCAGUGGCCUGUGCGCCCUCUUCCUCGCCCCCACCCUUGGCCGACCCCCAACUGCCCCCGCGCAGCAGACCCCGCGCCCCCUUCUCCGCGGGCACCCAGGCCGCCCUCGGUCCUCACCUGUCCUCCGGAAGCCGCGACACACGGGAGCGGGGCGCCCUGACUCACCGCCGGGGGUCCGCCGGGGCCAUGCCCUUCCCGGGCCGGGGGCGAGGCGGCGAGGCUUCCCAGCUCGGCGCGGCGAGCCGGCGUCCUUUUAUUCGCGUCGCCGAGAGGCUUCCCCGAGUCCACGCCUCGGCCCACCCCCACCCUGCCCUGCCCCACCCCGGGGAGACGGGGCGCGGGCCCGAGCCCAGGGACCCUGGCCGCGCGCGCUGCGCUCAGCCCUCCUCGCGCCUCUUCAUCGCGCCUCGCCCGCUGCGGCUGCGGGAGCGGCCGGGGCCCAGUGCGCAGCGGCUUUGGGACCGAGUCCCGCCGGUCCCGGAGCCAGGCCGGGGACUAGGGGCCGGGGGCGCGCCGGGGCGCCGAGCGGGGCUGCCAAUCGGCCGCCUUUCCUUCCGGGGAAGGGACAAGGCGCGCGCUUUGCACCCCUCCGCGCGGGCCGGAGUUUGCUCUGGCGGCUUCCCCCGAACCCGCGUGCGGGCGGGAGCCCCCUCCGGCAGGCCCGGCUGCAACGUGAGACCCGCAGCCACGCCCUCCCGCCUCUCCGGUGGCUCCUGGACGCCCGCCUCUCCCGACCGCAGACUCGGCCUGCCCGGAAGGUGGGAGCGCGCUCCUCCCGCCCCCACGAGCGGCCUGCGGGGGGCAGGGCGGGGGCGGGGAGCCGCGGGGAGCCUCGGUGCCUGCUGCUGGAAGCUGGGGGCCACCUGGGGAGGGGGCGCGACAGCACGGCUGGAGAGCGCCGUGCGUCCAGGAGCCAGAUGGGGACGCAGGAGAAGGGCACCCAGCUUCCAGAAGGAAUGAGGGCCCGAGAAAGUUAG
This 1089-nucleotide long non-coding RNA is filed under the name Felis catus (domestic cat). RNAcentral describes it as "lncRNA (ENSFCAG00000053721.1)". Lineage: Eukaryota; Metazoa; Chordata; Mammalia; Carnivora; Felidae. The record is from RNAcentral.